RNAcentral lists this non-coding RNA (179 nucleotides) under Sporosarcina sp. The record is from RNAcentral. Lineage: Bacteria; Bacillati; Bacillota; Bacilli; Caryophanales; Caryophanaceae.
UGGACGCAAUUACGCCGAGGCGUAAUUGAUUAUGAGGUUAAAAGGGAAGCCGGUUCAAUUCCGGCGCGGUCCCGCCACUGUAAGUGUGAGCGAGUCGUAGCACGUCACUGGAGAAAUCCGGGAAGACACGACAAGCAUUGAACACAAGCCAGGAGACCUGCCUUUAUAGAUCUCACCCA